AGCAGCCGCGGUAAUUCCAGCUCCAAUAGCGUAUAUUAAAGUUGUUGCAGUUAAAAAGCUCGUAGUUGAAUUUCGGGAUCAGUACGCUGGUCAUGCCUUUGGUAUGCACUGGUGUCACUGGUUUCUCCCUUCUGAAGAACCGUGAUGUCAUUAAUUUGGUGUCGCGGGGAAUCAGGACUGUUACUUUGAAAAAAUUGAGUGUUUAAAGCAGGCUCACGCUUGAAUACAUUAGCAUGGAAUAAUGAAAUAGGACGUUUGACCCUAUUUUGUUGGUUUCUAGGAUCGACGUAAUGAUUAAUAGGGAUAGUUGGGGCAUUAGUAUUCAAUUGUCAGAGGUG
This 338-nucleotide ribosomal RNA is filed under the name uncultured Glomus. RNAcentral's name for it is "SSU rRNA". It matches the Rfam family "Eukaryotic small subunit ribosomal RNA", at positions 569 to 913 of the family's 1831-position model. The record is from RNAcentral. Lineage: Eukaryota; Fungi; Glomeromycota; Glomeromycetes; Glomerales; Glomeraceae.